AGUGAACGCUGGCGGUAGGCCUAACACAUGCAAGUCGAACGGCAGCACAGUAAGAGCUUGCUCUUACGGGUGGCGAGUGGCGGACGGGUGAGGAAUACAUCGGAAUCUACUUUUUCGUGGGGGAUAACGUAGGGAAACUUACGCUAAUACCGCAUACGACCUACGGGUGAAAGCAGGGGAUCUUCGGACCUUGCGCGAUUGAAUGAGCCGAUGUCGGAUUGGCUAGUUGGCGGGGUAAAGGCCCACCAAGGCGACGAUCCGUAGCUGGUCUGAGAGGAUGAUCAGCCACACUGGAACUGAGACACGGUCCAGACUCCUACGGGAGGCAGCAGUGGGGAAUAUUGGACAAUGGGCGCAAGCCUGAUCCAGCCAUACCGCGUGGGUGAAGAAGGCCUUCGGGUUGUAAAGCCCUUCUGUUGGGAAAGAAAAGCAGCAGGUUAAUACCCCGCUGUUCUGACGGUACCCAAAGAAUAAGCACCGGCUAACUUCGUG
Molecule: ribosomal RNA, 492 nt
Filed under: uncultured bacterium
Lineage: Bacteria
Description: partial 16S ribosomal RNA
Rfam family: Bacterial small subunit ribosomal RNA
Source: RNAcentral